UACGUCCCUGCCCUUUGUACACACCGCCCGUCGCUCCUACCGAUUGAGCAAUCCGGUGAAUAUUUUGGACUGGAUUCUGGCGGGGCAACUCGCUCAGAAACCGGAAAAUCAAGUUAACCUUAUUGCUUAGAGGAAGGAGAAGUCGUAACAAGGUUUCCGUAGGUGAACCUGC
This 172-nucleotide ribosomal RNA is filed under the name Amoebophrya sp. ex Karlodinium veneficum. RNAcentral's name for it is "partial 18S ribosomal RNA". It matches the Rfam family "Eukaryotic small subunit ribosomal RNA", at positions 1646 to 1818 of the family's 1831-position model. The record is from RNAcentral. Lineage: Eukaryota; Dinophyceae; Syndiniales; Amoebophryaceae.